This 465-nucleotide ribosomal RNA is filed under the name uncultured Delftia sp. RNAcentral describes it as "bacterial SSU rRNA". It matches the Rfam family "Bacterial small subunit ribosomal RNA", at positions 916 to 1381 of the family's 1533-position model. Lineage: Bacteria; Pseudomonadati; Pseudomonadota; Betaproteobacteria; Burkholderiales; Comamonadaceae. The record is from RNAcentral.
GACGGGACCCGCACAAGCGGUGGAUGAUGUGGUUUAAUUCGAUGCAACGCGAAAAACCUUACCCACCUUUGACAUGGCAGGAAGUUUCCAGAGAUGGAUUCGUGCUCGAAAGAGAACCUGCACACAGGUGCUGCAUGGCUGUCGUCAGCUCGUGUCGUGAGAUGUUGGGUUAAGUCCCGCAACGAGCGCAACCCUUGUCAUUAGUUGCUACGAAAGGGCACUCUAAUGAGACUGCCGGUGACAAACCGGAGGAAGGUGGGGAUGACGUCAAAUCAUCAUGCCCCUUAUGACCUGGGCUACACACGUGCUACAAUGGUUGGUACAACGAGUUGCGAGUCGGUGACGGCGAGCUAAUCUCUUAAAGCCAAUCUCAGUUCGGAUUGUAGGCUGCAACUCGCCUACAUGAAGUCGGAAUCGCUAGUAAUCGCGGAUCAGCACGCCGCGGUGAAUACGUUCCCGGGCCUU